CUUGUGAGAAGAGUGUGUGAACCGUGCAUGCUACACAAGGUGCCUGGAGAGAUUUAUGUUUUGUCAUCCACCUGCUUCAAUGCUGUGAAACCCGGCAGGCAGUAACAAACGAAGAAACCAACCCAGACUGGAAAACCCAAACAAAGAGAGACCUUACUGGUGCUGUUUGUACAUCUGUGUGGAGGACUAUCUGGGCUUGUAUGUUUUGACGCCACGCUCAAAUGACUGAAUGGUUCCUUUCCCAGCGAAACGGAAGGUGGAGAGGAGAUGGAUUCUAGACUGGGACUGAAGGAGUCGAGGUGAAUCCUGGACGCAUGGAUCUGCUGGGAGGAGAGAGGGAGGGUUUCUUGUCGCCUCCGCCAUCUUUUUAGGGGAAGUAGCUGAUGAGGAAGGGAUUGAUCGCGAGAAGGAUGGAUUGGAAACAAGGAAAGGGAUGGAGUGUCGGCUGAACUGGGCCACAGAACUGUAGCUGGGAAGGACUGGGAGAAGAGACGGGAGAAGGCAGCCUCGCUGACUGGAGGAAUGCCAGCUGGUCUCAGACAGAUGAUGAUACUGGAGGACAAUCCCUGGAGAGAGAGAGUACAGGUAUAAUAA
This is a long non-coding RNA of Esox lucius (northern pike), 594 nucleotides long. RefSeq lists it as uncharacterized. NCBI's taxonomy places the organism in Eukaryota, Metazoa, Chordata, Actinopteri, Esociformes, Esocidae. The transcript has 5 exons. The record is from RefSeq and is a predicted model, not a curated record.